RNAcentral lists this ribosomal RNA (490 nucleotides) under uncultured bacterium. RNAcentral describes it as "partial 16S ribosomal RNA". It matches the Rfam family "Bacterial small subunit ribosomal RNA", at positions 30 to 507 of the family's 1533-position model. The record is from RNAcentral.
AUUGAACGCUGGCGGCAGGCCUAACACAUGCAAGUCGAACGGUAACAGGAGGAAGCUUGCUUCUUUGCUGACGAGUGGCGGACGGGUGAGUAAUGUCUGGGAAACUGCCUGAUGGAGGGGGAUAACUACUGGAAACGGUAGCGAAUACCGCAUAACGUCGCAAGACCAAAGAGGGGGACCUUCGGGCCUCUUGCCAUCGGAUGAGCCCAGAUGGGAUUAGCUAGUAGGUGGGGUAACGGCUCACCUAGGCGACGAUCCCUAGCUGGUCUGAGAGGAUGACCAGCCACACUGGAACUGAGACACGGUCCAGACUCCUACGGGAGGCAGCAGUGGGGAAUAUUGCACAAUGGGCGCAAGCCUGAUGCAGCCAUGCCGCGUGUAUGAAGAAGGCCUUCGGGUUGUAAAGUACUUUCAGCGGGGAGGAAGGGAGUAAAGUUAAUACCUUUGCUCAUUGACGUUACCCGCAGAAGAAGCACCGGCUAACUCCGUG